UACGUAGGGGGCAAGCGUUAUCCGGAUUUACUGGGUGUAAAGGGUGCGUAGGUGGCAAUGCAAGUCAGAUGUGAAAUUUCGGGGCUCAACCCCGAAGCUGCAUCUGAAACUGCGUAGCUAGAGUGCAGGAGAGGAAAGCGGAAUUCCGAGUGUAGCGGUGAAAUGCGUAGAGAUUCGGAGGAACACCAGUAGCGAAGGCGGCUUUCUGGACUGUAACUGACACUGAGGCACGAAAGCGUGGGGAGCGAAC
This 250-nucleotide ribosomal RNA is filed under the name uncultured bacterium. RNAcentral describes it as "partial 16S ribosomal RNA". It matches the Rfam family "Bacterial small subunit ribosomal RNA", at positions 524 to 773 of the family's 1533-position model. The record is from RNAcentral.